ACUUUUUUUUUUACUAGACUCACAAUUUUAAAAACAAAUGGUUUUUUUUUUGUGUGAAAUAAACCUAGUAGGCGUAGUCUAUUUAUUUUAAAAUAAACCUUAUGCCUAGAUAUCUAUAUCUAAAUUUUCCAAAUGUAUUUUCAGAAGUUCGAAUGAGGAGAUGGAGAUGGCUGGGCCAUGUCCUACGCAUGAGCAAAAGAUGACUCCCCAACAUGGCACUGGAAAACGAAAGAGAGGAAGACCACUGGGAACAUGGAGGAGAUAGAUGGAAGAAGAAGUGCAAGCUGCUGGCAAGACCUGGCAUGAACUAAAGUGGCUCGCCCAAGACAGAGUGGAAUGGCAGGGAUUUGUUGCUGCCCUAUACUCCACAGGGAGUGAUGAGGAUUAAAGAAAGCAGACACAGAUCCAGUGUUGGAAGAGGAAGUAUUUUACAGAAAAGAAAAAAAACAACAGAUGUCAAAGCAGGUAUUGGCUGGUGCAGAAACAGCAUGAAAGGAUUUUUGUAUCUUUCCUGGACUGAUGACUUUCAUUCAACCUGAUCAUUUUUUUAUUUGCAUCAACUAAAACUUGUUAUAUAAAUCACUUUGUUGUACUCACACCUUAAACUUAAACCCAUUAUUACUUUUGUACUUUUCAUUGAUAAUUGAAAUUUAUAUAA
This is a long non-coding RNA of Physella acuta, 658 nucleotides long. RefSeq lists it as uncharacterized. The record is from RefSeq and is a predicted model, not a curated record. NCBI's taxonomy places the organism in Eukaryota, Metazoa, Mollusca, Gastropoda, Physidae.